This 317-nucleotide ribosomal RNA is filed under the name uncultured bacterium. RNAcentral describes it as "bacterial SSU rRNA". It matches the Rfam family "Bacterial small subunit ribosomal RNA", at positions 28 to 334 of the family's 1533-position model. The record is from RNAcentral.
GAUGAACGCUAGCGAUAGGCUUAACACAUGCAAGUCGAGGGGCAGCAUAUUCGAAGCUUGCUUUGAAUGAUGGCGACCGGCGCACGGGUGCGUAACGCGUAUGUAACCUGCCUGUCAGAAGGGAAUAACCCGGUGAAGGUCGGACUAAUACCCUAUAUGCCCACGAGUAGGCACCUGCCUUGGUGAGGAAAGAUUUAUCACUGACAGAUGGACAUGCGUCCCAUUAGCUUGUUGGUAGGGUAACGGCCUACCAAGGCAACGAUGGGUAGGGGAACUGAGAGGUUUAUCCCCCACAUUGGUACUGAGACACGGUCCAA